RNAcentral lists this ribosomal RNA (253 nucleotides) under uncultured bacterium. RNAcentral describes it as "partial 16S ribosomal RNA". It matches the Rfam family "Bacterial small subunit ribosomal RNA", at positions 524 to 776 of the family's 1533-position model. The record is from RNAcentral.
UACGGAGGGUGCAAGCGUUAUCCGGAUUCACUGGGUUUAAAGGGUGCGUAGGUGGGUCUGUAAGUCAGUGGUGAAAUCUCCGAGCUUAACUCGGAAACUGCCAUUGAUACUAUAGGUCUUGAAUUUUCUGGAGGACAGCGGAAUAUGUCAUGUAGCGGUGAAAUGCUUAGAUAUGACAUAGAACACCGAUUGCGAAGGCAGCUGUCUACGGGGAUAUUGACACUGAGGCACGAAAGCGUGGGGAUCAAACAGG